This 88-nucleotide transfer RNA is filed under the name Clostridiales bacterium. RNAcentral's name for it is "tRNA-Ser". It matches the Rfam family "tRNA". From Rfam's summary of the family: Transfer RNA (tRNA) molecules are approximately 80 nucleotides in length. Their secondary structure includes four short double-helical elements and three loops (D, anti-codon, and T loops). Lineage: Bacteria; Bacillati; Bacillota; Clostridia; Eubacteriales. The record is from RNAcentral.
GGAAAGGUGCUCGAGCGGUUGAAGAGGCACGCCUGGAAAGCGUGUAUACCCCUAAAGGGUAUCAGGGGUUCGAAUCCCCUCCUUUCCG